AAUCAAGUGACCUAAGAGCAUCUGGUGGAUGCCUUGGCGCACACAGGCGAUGAAGGACGUGGUACGCUGCGAUAAGCCAUGGGGAGCUGCGAACAAGCUUUGAUCCGUGGAUUUCCGAAUGGGGCAACCCACCGCUUCGGCGGUAUCGUCAUCUGAAUACAUAGGAUGGCGAGGCGAACCCGGGGAACUGAAACAUCUCAGUACCCGGAGGAAAGGACAUCAACCGAGACUCCGUUAGUAGUGGCGAGCGAACGCGGACCAGGCCAGUGCUUCAGCAAGGAUAACUGGAACCAUCAGGAAAGUUGGGCCUCAGAGGGUGAUAGCCCCGUACAGGUAAUGCCAAGCUGAAGACUAGAGUAGGGCGGGACACGUGAAAUCCUGUCUGAACAUGGGGAGACCACUCUCCAAGCCUAAGUACUCGUGUGCGACCGAUAGCGAACCAGUACCGUGAGGGAAAGGUGAAAAGCACCCCGACGAGGGGAGUGAAAGAGACCUGAAACCGGAUGCUUACAAUCAGUCGGAGCCUAUCUUCGGAUGGGUGACGGCGUACCUUUUGUAUAAUGGGUCAGCGAGUUAGUCUGCCGAGCAAGCUUAAGCCGUUAGGUGUAGGCGCAGCGAAAGCGAGUCUGAAUAGGGCGAACAGUUCGGCGGAUUAGACCCGAAACCAGGUGAUCUAGGCAUGAGCAGGCUGAAGGUGCGGUAACACGCACUGAAGGGCCGAACCCACCUAUGUUGAAAAAUGGGGGGAUGACUUGUGCCUAGGGGUGAAAGGCCAAUCAAACCUGGAAAUAGCUGGUUCUCCGCGAAAUCUAUUUAGGUAGAGCGUCGGACGAAUACUCUCGGGGGUAGAGCACUGGAUGGGCUAGGGGGCCUCAACGGCUUACCAAACCUAACCAAACUCCGAAUACCGAGAAGUACUAUCCGGCAGACACACUGCGGGUGCUAAGGUCCGUAGUGAAAAGGGAAACAGCCCUGACCGACAGCUAAGGUCCCCAAGUUAUGGCUAAGUGUGAAAGGAUGUGAGAAUCCCAAAACAACCAGGAGGUUGGCUUAGAAGCAGCCAUCCUUUAAAGAAAGCGUAACAGCUCACUGGUCUAAAUAAGGAUUCUUGCGCCGACAAUGUAUCGGGGCUUAAGCCAUACACCGAAGCUUCGGGUGUGCACUUGUGCACGCGGUAGCGGAGCGUUCCGUAAGCCUGCGAAGGGUCACCGCGAGGUGGCCUGGAGGUAUCGGAAGAGCGAAUGCUGACAUGAGUAACGAUAAGGAGUGUGAGAGACACUCCCGCCGAAAGUCCAAGGGUUCCUGCGCAAUGCUAAUCAGCGCAGGGUUAGCCGGCCCCUAAGGCGAGGGCGAAAGCCGUAGUCGAUGGGAACCACGUUAAUAUUCGUGGGCCAGUGGGUGUGUGACGAAUUCUAAAAGUUGUCAGGUCUUAUCGGAUUGACUUGGCCGCGAAGGAGUUCCAGGAAAUAGCCCCCACAUGAGACCGUACCCUAAACCGACACAGGUGGACUGGUAGAGUAUACCAAGGCGCUUGAGAGACUGCGUUGAAGGAACUCGGCAAAAUACCCCCGUAACUUCGGGAGAAGGGGGCCCCAUGUCUGGGCAACCAGGUGUGGGGGGCACAAGCCAGGGGGUGGCGACUGUUUAUUAAAAACAUAGGGCUCUGCGAAGUCGCAAGACGACGUAUAGGGUCUGACGCCUGCCCGGUGCCGGAAGGUUAAGAGGAGGGGUGCAAGCUCUGAAUCGAAGCCCCGGUAAACGGCGGCCGUAACUAUAACGGUCCUAAGGUAGCGAAAUUCCUUGUCGGGUAAGUUCCGACCUGCACGAAUGGCGUAACGACUUCCCCACUGUCUCCAACGCAGACUCAGUGAAAUUGAAUUCCCCGUGAAGAUGCGGGGUUCCUGCGGUUAGACGGAAAGACCCCGUGAACCUUUACUAUAGCUUUGCACUGGUAUUCGUAACUGCAUGUGUAGGAUAGGUGGGAGGCUUUGAACCUGGGGCGCCAGUUCCAGGGGAGCCAACCUUGAAAUACCACCCUUACGAUUAUGGAUAUCUAACUGCGGCCCGUUCAUCCGGGUCCAAGACAGUGCAUGGUGGGUAGUUUGACUGGGGCGGUCGCCUCCCAAAGAGUAACGGAGGCGUGCGAAGGUAGGCUCAAGCUGGUCGGAAAUCAGCUGUCGAGUGCAAAGGCAUAAGCCUGCCUGACUGCGAGACUGACAAGUCGAGCAGAGACGAAAGUCGGCCUUAGUGAUCCGGUGGUCCCGUGUGGAAGGGCCAUCGCUCAACGGAUAAAAGGUACUCCGGGGAUAACAGGCUGAUGAUGCCCAAGAGUCCAUAUCGACGGCAUCGUUUGGCACCUCGAUGUCGGCUCAUCACAUCCUGGGGCUGGAGCAGGUCCCAAGGGUUCGGCUGUUCGCCGAUUAAAGUGGUACGUGAGCUGGGUUUAGAACGUCGUGAGACAGUUCGGUCCCUAUCUGCCGUGGGUGUAGGAGAAUUGAGAGGAUCUGUCCCUAGUACGAGAGGACCGGGAUGGACGCACCUCUGGUGGACCUGUUGUCGCGCCAGCGGCACAGCAGGGUAGCUAAGUGCGGACGGGAUAACCGCUGAAAGCAUCUAAGCGGGAAGCCUACCUCGAAACUAGUUCUCCCUUGAGAGCCGUGGAAGACCACCACGUUGAUAGGCUGGGUGUGGAAGCGCAGCAAUGCGUGAAGCUAACCAGUACUAAUAGCUCGAUCGGCUUGAUUGC
Molecule: ribosomal RNA, 2746 nt
Organism: Methyloceanibacter marginalis
Lineage: Bacteria; Pseudomonadati; Pseudomonadota; Alphaproteobacteria; Hyphomicrobiales; Hyphomicrobiaceae
Rfam family: Bacterial large subunit ribosomal RNA
Source: Rfam